Dermacentor andersoni is the source of this 1660-nucleotide non-coding RNA. Lineage: Eukaryota; Metazoa; Arthropoda; Arachnida; Ixodida; Ixodidae. The record is from RefSeq and is a predicted model, not a curated record.
UGGAACGUUGCCGCUCAAAUGUCCAAAAGGCUGCAAAAUACAGCUGCUGCUGAGUGAGAGCGAGUAUUGACCUGAGAAGCGCACAGGUCGAAUAGAAAUAAAAGCUGAACUCUGUGCAAGUAACACCUUUCUGUGAAAAAAUGAUUAAAUUACUCUUACUGUAUAAAAAAUGUAGCUUUCGACGCGUUCCUAUUCACUCGCUUUCGUCCCUGCCUCCUACCGACGGCUUCUGCACAUUAAAGGAAAUAGGACAUUGCAUCAAAGUGAAGGCAAAGUGACUAUGUCAACUGAUGUGCUUUAUGGCGAUGGUAGCUUGCUGUGUGUUAAAACAGAUUCAGAAGAAAUAAUUAUGCACUCUUAACAUUCAGUGAUCUUGCUUCACAACACGACGACAAAAUUUUGAGCUCCGACAAGGGGUCAUCAUGAUAUCCGUAAUAAUGGCAUCCAAGAGCCAGGAUAUCAAAGGCCAUGCUUUUGCCGUGCUUCGGGCGUCUGAAAACUGCUAACAUCAUAGCCGCCACGCUUUGGACAUGUAUUUGACUAUAAAAAUAGUACUACAAUGUGCUUCACCGCUGGGCGCCAGGGAGCAAAGCUUUGUCUUUGAAAGCAGCAAGUACUAAAGGAUGCUCUUGCGCAAAAUAGAAUAACCACAUAAUUUACCCAAUAUGAUAUUAUUUUUCUAUGUUUCUUUAAUUUCGAGGAAUGAGUCGGUUUUCAGAACAAUAAUUGUCUCGAAAGAUGAAACCAUACAGCCCCUAAAUGCCCAACAAAAUUGAGCUGGCUGUCUUGUCAGUUUUUUUUUUUUUUUCAACCUCGGCCAAGGGGUACAUUCCUCCCUCUAAGUGCAGUUCCCAGAAGGGGUGCGUACACGAAAGCCGGCCACAGCUUUCACCGAGAGGCGACGAAUGUGUAGGUGUGAGUCAACCAUCCCAAGGAAGUAAGGGAGGGAGGGGGGGGGGGGCAUGUUUCGGCUAAAGGAGGGGCUUUAGUUCCGCGGCGGUCAAGGCGAAGCAGGUGGAUGGAAAGAAUGUCACAUGCCUCUCCCGCGCAUGCGCACAAAUUUGACACUUGGCCGAGUCGAGGCAAUGAGGGAGACCAUCGCAAUCGCCAUCAGUUCCUUUGCGACGCCGGCAUGGUACGGUCGAGCGAUGUAGGUGUUUCGUGGCGUAUCUUAGCAGCAAUCUAGCUGUUUUUGCUGCUAUUUAUUCUUAUGAUGUGUUGUGGCUAAUUCAUCGAUGCAAGCCAACCAGCAAGGUGUUUGCGAAGCCCACGGUGCUUUCUUCGUUCCGUGCUGUGAGCGUUUCUGGAACUUCUCUGCCAGCUGCGAUGCAGUGUCGUGUGAAGUGAUCUAAUAUUGGCACUGUCCGUGUUUUAAACUGCACAAAUAGCGAACAGCUGUUCCUCAAGACUGCUAUGCGCCGAAGUUUUCUCUAUCUCCAAAUUAUAAUAAAAGGGUUGGUUCAUUCUGCAAACAUUCUGAGACAUCAGCUAUGAAUGUAAAAAAUACAUUAUAAUCGAUGCUUGCUAGAGAUUAUGCGACAGCUGCCCUGCCGUAAUCAACUAAGUCAUCAUUCAUUUAUUAUUUUUAUUAAUUUCUCUACUACUUCUCUCACAAUUCUGUGCAAAUAUUUUUGUGUGAAUAAACUUCUUUCAGUGCAAA